UACGUAGGGGGCUAGCGUUGUCCGGAAUCAUUGGGCGUAAAGCGCGUGUAGGCGGUCCGGUAAGUCCGCUGUGAAAGCCGGGGGCUCAACCCUCGAAUGCCGGUGGAUACUGUCGGGCUAGAGUGCGGAAGAGGCGAGUGGAAUUCCUGGUGUAGCGGUGAAAUGCGCAGAUAUCAGGAGGAACACCAAUUGCGAAGGCAGCUCGCUGGGACGUAACUGACGCUGAGACGCGAAAGCGUGGGGAGCAAACAGG
Molecule: ribosomal RNA, 253 nt
Filed under: uncultured bacterium
Lineage: Bacteria
Description: partial 16S ribosomal RNA
Rfam family: Bacterial small subunit ribosomal RNA
Source: RNAcentral